GACGAACGCUGGCGGCGCGCCUAACACAUGCAAGUCGAGCGGAGUAAGGAUUUCGGUUUUACUUAGCGGCGGACGGGUGAGUAACGCGUGAGUAACCUGCCCUUCAGCGGGGGAUAGCGUCUGGAAACGGACGAUAAUACCGCAUAAUGUGCGAAGAAGACAUCUUCUUUGUACCAAAGGAUUUAUUCACUGAAGGAUGGACUCGCGUCCGAUUAGAUAGUUGGUGAGGUAACGGCCCACCAAGUCUGCGAUCGGUAGCCGGACUGAGAGGUUGAUCGGCCACAUUGGGACUGAGACACGGCCCAGACUCCUACGGGAGGCAGCAGUGGGGGAUAUUGCACAAUGGAGGAAACUCUGAUGCAGCGACGCCGCGUGAGGGAAGAAGGUCUUCGGAUUGUAAACCUCUGUCUUCAGGGACGAAACAAAUGACGGUACCUGAAGAGGAAGCCACGGCUAACUACGUG
Molecule: ribosomal RNA, 464 nt
Filed under: uncultured bacterium
Lineage: Bacteria
Description: bacterial SSU rRNA
Rfam family: Bacterial small subunit ribosomal RNA
Source: RNAcentral